GUAGCUCAGUUGGUAGAGUGCUUGCCUAGGGUGCAUGAAGCCCUGGGUUCAAUCUCCAGC
This 60-nucleotide transfer RNA is filed under the name Mus musculus (house mouse). It matches the Rfam family "tRNA", at positions 7 to 64 of the family's 71-position model. From Rfam's summary of the family: Transfer RNA (tRNA) molecules are approximately 80 nucleotides in length. The record is from Rfam by way of RNAcentral. Lineage: Eukaryota; Metazoa; Chordata; Mammalia; Rodentia; Muridae.